Molecule: small RNA, 23 nt
Filed under: Arabidopsis thaliana (thale cress)
Lineage: Eukaryota; Viridiplantae; Streptophyta; Magnoliopsida; Brassicales; Brassicaceae
Description: ATSL004380
Source: RNAcentral
GUAAGAUCUGCAUACAAUUCCUG